AUUAUGAGAGUUUGAUCCUGGCUCAGGACGAACGCUGGCGGCGUGCCUAAUACAUGCAAGUCGAACGCUUCUUUCCUCCCGAGUGCUUGCACUCAAUUGGAAAGAGGAGUGGCGGACGGGUGAGUAACACGUGGGUAACCUACCCAUCAGAGGGGGAUAACACUUGGAAACAGGUGCUAAUACCGCAUAACAGUUUAUGCCGCAUGGCAUAAGAGUGAAAGGCGCUUUCGGGUGUCGCUGAUGGAUGGACCCGCGGUGCAUUAGCUAGUUGGUGAGGUAACGGCUCACCAAGGCCACGAUGCAUAGCCGACCUGAGAGGGUGAUCGGCCACACUGGGACUGAGACACGGCCCAGACUCCUACGGGAGGCAGCAGUAGGGAAUCUUCGGCAAUGGACGAAAGUCUGACCGAGCAACGCCGCGUGAGUGAAGAAGGUUUUCGGAUCGUAAAACUCUGUUGUUAGAGAAGAACAAGGACGUUAGUAACUGAACGUCCCCUGACGGUAUCUAACCAGAAAGCCACGGCUAACUACGUGCCAGCAGCCGCGGUAAUACGUAGGUGGCAAGCGUUGUCCGGAUUUAUUGGGCGUAAAGCGAGCGCAGGCGGUUUCUUAAGUCUGAUGUGAAAGCCCCCGGCUCAACCGGGGAGGGUCAUUGGAAACUGGGAGACUUGAGUGCAGAAGAGGAGAGUGGAAUUCCAUGUGUAGCGGUGAAAUGCGUAGAUAUAUGGAGGAACACCAGUGGCGAAGGCGG
RNAcentral lists this ribosomal RNA (751 nucleotides) under Enterococcus faecalis. RNAcentral describes it as "bacterial SSU rRNA". It matches the Rfam family "Bacterial small subunit ribosomal RNA", at positions 1 to 724 of the family's 1533-position model. The record is from RNAcentral. Lineage: Bacteria; Bacillati; Bacillota; Bacilli; Lactobacillales; Enterococcaceae.